RNAcentral lists this transfer RNA (75 nucleotides) under Polistes jokahamae. RNAcentral describes it as "tRNA-Ala". Lineage: Eukaryota; Metazoa; Arthropoda; Insecta; Hymenoptera; Vespidae. The record is from RNAcentral.
AGGGUAUUAGUUAAAUUUUUAAUAACAUUUAUUUUGCAAAUAAAAAUUAUUUUAUUUUCUUUAAAUUAUAUCUUU